This 563-nucleotide ribosomal RNA is filed under the name uncultured bacterium. RNAcentral's name for it is "partial 16S ribosomal RNA". It matches the Rfam family "Bacterial small subunit ribosomal RNA", at positions 355 to 1375 of the family's 1533-position model. The record is from RNAcentral.
UGGGGAAUAUUGGACAAUGGGCGCAAGCCUGAUCCAGCCAUGCCGCGUGAGUGAUGAAGGCCUUAGGGUUGUAAAGCUCUUUCGCCGGUGAAGAUAAUGACGGUAACCGGAGAAGAAGCCCCGGCUAACUUCGUGCCAGCAGCCGCGGUAAUACGAAGGGGGCUAGCGUUGCUCGGAAUCACCGGGCGUAAAGCGCACGUAGGCGGAUCGUUAAGUCAGGGGUGAAAUCCUGGAGCUCAACUCCAGAACUGCCCUUGAUACUGGCGAUCUCGAGUUCGAGAGAGGUUGGUGGAACUCCGAGUGUAGAGGUGAAAUUCGUAGAUAUUCGGAAGAACACCAGUGGCGAAGGCGGCCAACUGGCUCGAUACUGACGCUGAGGUGCGAAAGCGUGGGGAGCAAAACAGGAUUAGAUACCCCUGGUAGUCCACGCCGUAAACGAUGGAUGCUAGCCGUUGGGGGGUUUACCUCUCAGUGGCGCAGCUAACGCCUUAAGCAUCCCGCCUGGGGAGUACGGUCGCAAGAUUAAAACUCAAAUGAAUUGACGGGGUCAUAGCUGUUUUCUU